AUGGUGCUUUCAUCACUGUUCAGUAAUCUCAACCUCCUGUCUCUGUUUGAAUCAACGUCAGACCGGUGCAAAGGCUUUGAUCUAAGCUCCGAUCGGAACUACAACGAUCGAAAACUGUCUGAUGCGUUUUUGACGGUGACGAACAAGAAGGAAAGCCAUAGAUGCCGAAUUGUAUUUGAGCCGUUUUGUUCUUGUGUAUCAUUUGUUGAGCACGGAUCAGAGAUGCAAGAUUGUGAAGAUUGA
Molecule: non-coding RNA, 243 nt
Organism: Vicia faba (fava bean)
Lineage: Eukaryota; Viridiplantae; Streptophyta; Magnoliopsida; Fabales; Fabaceae
Source: the annotation of a GenBank genome assembly